RNAcentral lists this unclassified non-coding RNA (337 nucleotides) under soil metagenome. Its description in RNAcentral is "partial contains 5.8S ribosomal RNA, internal transcribed spacer 2, and large subunit ribosomal RNA". The stretch from base 1 to 120 matches the Rfam family "5.8S ribosomal RNA", at positions 35 to 154 of the family's 154-position model. The record is from RNAcentral.
GAUGAAGAACGCAGCGAAAUGCGAUAAGUAGUGUGAAUUGCAGAAUUCAGUGAAUCAUCGAAUCUUUGAACGCACAUUGCGCCCCUUGGUAUUCCGAGGGGCAUGCCUGUUCGAGCGUCAUUACACCACUCUAGCUAUGCUUGGUAUUGGGCGUCGUCCUUAGUUGGGCGCGCCUUAAAGACCUCGGCGAGGCCACUCCGGCUUUAGGCGUAGUAGAAUUUAUUCGAACGUCUGUCAAAGGAGAGGAACUCUGCCGACUGAAACCUUUAUUUUUCUAGGUUGACCUCGGAUCAGGUAGGGAUACCCGCUGAACUUAAGCAUAUCAAUAAGCGGAGGA